AGAGUUUGAUCAUGGCUCAGAGUGAACGCUGGCGGCAGGCCUAACACAUGCAAGUCGAGCGGCAGCGCGGGGGCAACCCUGGCGGCGAGCGGCGGACGGGUGAGGAAUACAUCGGAAUCUACCUUGUUGUGGGGGAUAACGUAGGGAAACUUACGCUAAUACCGCAUAAGACCUGAGGGUGAAAGCGGGGGACCGCAAGGCCUCGCGCGACAAGAUGAGCCGAUGUCCGAUUAGCUAGUUGGUGAGGUAAAGGCUCACCAAGGCGACGAUCGGUAGCUGGUCUGAGAGGAUGAUCAGCCACACUGGAACUGAGACACGGUCCAGACUCCUACGGGAGGCAGCAGUGGGGAAUAUUGGACAAUGGGGGCAACCCUGAUCCAGCCAUGCCGCGUGUGUGAAGAAGGCCUUCGGGUUGUAAAGCACUUUUGUCCGGGAAGAAAUCUCACGAUUUAAUACGUCGGGAGGAUGACGGUACCGGAAGAAUAAGCACCGGCUAACUUCGUGCCAGCAGCCGCGGUAAUACGAAGGGUGCAAGCGUUACUCGGAAUUACUGGGCGUAAAGCGUGCGUAGGUGGUUCGUUAAGUCUGCCGUGAAAGCCCCGGGCUCAACCUGGGAAUGGCGGUGGAUACUGGCGGACUAGAGUGCGGUAGAGGGUGGUGGAAUUCCCGGUGUAGCAGUGAAAUGCGUAGAGAUCGGGAG
This 700-nucleotide ribosomal RNA is filed under the name uncultured bacterium. Its description in RNAcentral is "bacterial SSU rRNA". It matches the Rfam family "Bacterial small subunit ribosomal RNA", at positions 8 to 703 of the family's 1533-position model. The record is from RNAcentral.